Molecule: ribosomal RNA, 274 nt
Filed under: uncultured bacterium
Lineage: Bacteria
Description: partial 16S ribosomal RNA
Rfam family: Bacterial small subunit ribosomal RNA
Source: RNAcentral
AUACGGAGGGAGCAAGCGUUACUCGGAAUCACUGGGCGUAAAGGAUGCGUAGGCGGAUAAUCAAGUCAAAAGUGAAAUCCCACGGCUUAACCGUGGAGCUGCUUUCGAAACUGGUUAUCUAGAAUAUGGAAGAGGCAGAUGGAAUUAGUGGUGUAGGGGUAAAAUCCGUAGAGAUCACUAGGAAUACCGAUUGCGAAGGCGAUCUGCUGGGACAUUAUUGACGCUGAGGCAUGAAAGCGUGGGGAGCAAACAGGAUUAGAUACCCCGGUAGUCC